This 365-nucleotide ribosomal RNA is filed under the name uncultured bacterium. RNAcentral's name for it is "bacterial SSU rRNA". It matches the Rfam family "Bacterial small subunit ribosomal RNA", at positions 150 to 501 of the family's 1533-position model. The record is from RNAcentral.
GUGGAAAACAGGGGCUAAUACCGUAUAACAAUGACAACCGCCAGGUUGUUAUUUAAAAGAUGGUUCUGCUAUCACUAAGAGAUGGUCCCGCGGUGCAUUAGCUAGUUGGUAAGGUAAUGGCUUACCAAGGCGAUGAUGCAUAGCCGAGUUGAGAGACUGAUCGGCCACAAUGGGAGUGAGACACGGCCCAUACUCCUACGGGAGGCAGCAGUAGGGAAUCUUCCACAAUGGGCGAAAGCCUGAUGGAGCAACGCCGCGUGUGUGAUGAAGGGUUUCGGCCCGUAAAACACUGUUGUAAGAGAAGAAUGACAUUGAGAGUAACUGUUCAAUGUGUGACGGUAUCUUACCAGAAAGGGACGGCUAAC